GAGGCAAUAGUGUAAUUUAGCAUAUCUCAUUUUCGCUGAGAGGGUAGGUUUGCCUUA
Molecule: transfer RNA, 57 nt
Filed under: Strongyloides fuelleborni fuelleborni
Lineage: Eukaryota; Metazoa; Nematoda; Chromadorea; Rhabditida; Strongyloididae
Description: tRNA-Glu
Source: RNAcentral